This 62-nucleotide microRNA precursor is filed under the name Scyliorhinus torazame (cloudy catshark). Its description in RNAcentral is "Sto-Mir-192-P2_pre stem-loop". It matches the Rfam family "mir-192/215 microRNA precursor family", at positions 9 to 68 of the family's 76-position model. Rfam says of the family: This family represents the human microRNA (miRNA) precursors mir-192 and mir-215. Lineage: Eukaryota; Metazoa; Chordata; Chondrichthyes; Carcharhiniformes; Scyliorhinidae. The record is from RNAcentral.
AUGACCUAUGAAUUGACAGCCAGUGCAAUUACAGAUUUGCCUGUCAGUUCCAUAGGCCACUA